CCCUCUGCCAUCAUCACCCUGAGGAUGGAGCAGUGACAUCCCAGGGCCACCACGGCUCUCUGUCCUCCUGCACGAAGCCAUAGAGGGAAGAGAACUGGCUCCUGGAAGCCUGCCUUCUAGCAGGAAAUGGCCUGGGUUGUAGCAGCCUAAAUAGAGCCUUGCUUGCUGACUCUCCCAAUGGCUUUGCUGAGGUUUCGAUGCCCAACUCUUGUGAGUGUGGUGAGCCUUGGGGACUGUUCACAUUCAAGCAAUCCUAUGGGACAGCUGUGAUGGCGUUAGCUGGCUUCCAAAUAUCCCAACUGUGCUGGAGAAAGUUGGUCACCAAUUCUGGACUCAAGGAAAGUCAACAGCUUUGAAGCGGUUGAUGUGGCAUUUCUACUUCUGGACUUUUAGGAACUCUUCCUUGAUUUUGCAGAGAAUCUGUUCAAAUGUACUCAGUGGUUGUUGAGAUCCGAGGUUGCCUGUCACACCAAUAAAAUCUUUCUGUUUCCUUCUCCAUGGUUUUGGAAUGAGAAACACCUCAUGGCUCACUGCAGCAGGAGAGAAAGCUUCAGUGACACAGCUGCUGAGUGCAGGAAUAUGUAAAUUGAGAGUGACAGGGAUUUACUUCAACCUACUGAGAGCUCCAUCAGGAAAACAUCUGGAUGUUGGUAUGGCUGAGAUGGACCUCUAUAAUGGGAACCCCAAAAAUAAGCCUCAUCAAAUGUGA
RNAcentral lists this long non-coding RNA (709 nucleotides) under Phasianus colchicus (ring-necked pheasant). Its description in RNAcentral is "lncRNA (ENSPCLG00000006250.1)". Lineage: Eukaryota; Metazoa; Chordata; Aves; Galliformes; Phasianidae. The record is from RNAcentral.